Cavia porcellus (domestic guinea pig) is the source of this 99-nucleotide unclassified non-coding RNA. It matches the Rfam family "Y RNA". From Rfam's summary of the family: Y RNAs are components of the Ro ribonucleoprotein particle (Ro RNP), in association with Ro60 and La proteins. The Y RNAs and Ro60 and La proteins are well conserved, but the function of the Ro RNP is not known. NCBI's taxonomy places the organism in Eukaryota, Metazoa, Chordata, Mammalia, Rodentia, Caviidae. The record is from Ensembl.
GGCUGGUCCGAUGGCAGUGGGUUAUCAGAACUUAUUAACAUUAGUGUCACUAAAGUUGAUAUACCACCCCCCCCCACUGCUAAAUUUGACUGGCUUUAA